Molecule: ribosomal RNA, 359 nt
Filed under: uncultured bacterium
Lineage: Bacteria
Description: partial 16S ribosomal RNA
Rfam family: Bacterial small subunit ribosomal RNA
Source: RNAcentral
CCGGCCUGAGAGGGNNNACGGUCACACUGGGACUGAUANACGGCCCANACUCCUACGGGAGGCAGCAGUGGGGAAUAUUGGGCAAUGGGCGGAAGCCUGANCCAGCGACGCCGCGUGNGGGAUGAAGGCCUUCGGGUUGUAAACCUCUUUCAGCAGGGAAGAAGCGAAAGUGACGGUACCUGCAGAAGAAGCACCGGCUAACUAUGUGCCAGCAGCCGCGGUAAUACAUAGGGUGCAAGCGUUGUCCGGAAUUAUUGGGCGUAAAGAGCUCGUAGGUGGNUCGUCACGUCGAAUGUGAAACCCUGAGGCUCAACCUCNGGCCUGCNUCCGAUACGGGCGAACUGGAGUGUGGUAGGGGA